RNAcentral lists this ribosomal RNA (395 nucleotides) under uncultured bacterium. Its description in RNAcentral is "bacterial SSU rRNA". It matches the Rfam family "Bacterial small subunit ribosomal RNA", at positions 29 to 430 of the family's 1533-position model. The record is from RNAcentral.
UUGAACGCUGGCGGCAUGCCUUACACAUGCAAGUCGAGCGCGAAAGGGGGCAACCCCGAGUAGAGCGGCGGACGGGUGAGUAACACAUCGGAACGUGCCCAGUAGUGGGGGACAACCUCGAGAAAUCGAGGCUAAUACCGCAUACGACCCACGGGUGAAAGCGGGGGACCGCAAGGCCUCGCGCUAUUGGAGCGGCCGAUGUCCGAUUAGCUAGUUGGCGGGGUAAGAGCCCACCAAGGCGACGAUCGGUAGCUGGUCUGAGAGGACGACCAGCCACACUGGGACUGAGACACGGCCCAGACUCCUACGGGAGGCAGCAGUGGGGAAUUUUGGACAAUGGGGGCAACCCUGAUCCAGCCAUGCCGCGUGCGGGAAGAAGGCCUUCGGUUGUAACG